UACAGAGGUGGCAAGCGUUGUUCGGAAUUACUGGGCGUAAAGGGCGCGUAGGCGGCCUUCUAAGUCAGACGUGAAAUCCCCCGGCUUAACCUGGGAACUGCGUCUGAUACUGGGAGGCUUGAGUAUGGGGAGAGGGAUGUAGAAUUCCAGGUGUAGCGGUGAAAUGCGUAGAUAUCUGGAGGAAUACCGGUGGCGAAGGCGGCAUCCUGGACCAUAACUGACGCUGAGGCGCGAAAGCCAGGGGAGCAAACGGG
Molecule: ribosomal RNA, 254 nt
Filed under: uncultured bacterium
Lineage: Bacteria
Description: partial 16S ribosomal RNA
Rfam family: Bacterial small subunit ribosomal RNA
Source: RNAcentral